CAAUAACAUUUUCCACAGAUAUUUCAGAACUACGCUUUAACAAUUCCCUUGCGUGCGACACCAUGCUACCGCCACGGAACUUCUCGAGCGACCGUGUGGACGACGGCCCCUGUGUGGCGCCCCCCACACAAGCCCCCACACAAGCCCCAACAAGCUCCUCCAUGAAGGUGUCCUCUUCUGUGAUGGUCAUCCUCAUGGGCUGGGCAUUGCUGUGGAGUCAUUGAAAACGUGCCUCCUGAUCGUUGUCCUUCCAGAACAGCACGGCCUCAACCCUGGUCUCCAGGAACCCCAGGGUGUACUGCUUUCGAUUCCAACCUUAACUGCCGUUCCUGAAAUAAAGAACUUAGCAUUGUUUAUAGACAUUUUAAGGUCUCACGAUCACUGACACAUUAUGUCAGAGACAGACAUUCAUGUUACAAAAAAAAUUCCAUAUUACAGUUUUACAGUUCGUAAAAAUGAUGAUUUGUUAUAUUUUCUCCAAUCACUGUAUUGUAGCAAAUGUCUCCUUUUGGAAAGAGGCUGUUUUGGACUGAUUCACUGAUGGUCUUUCAGCAAAAAAAAAAAAAAAAAUGAAUUCAAAAAUGCUUAACUGCUGGUCACUGAAGCCAAACCAUUUCUGGAAAACGAAGAGUUCAGAGACCUAGCAAAUGGUAACUAGGGUAGAUAAUCCGUUAUGGAGGCAUAGAUGUGUUUCACUUAGUUAAUCCUUUUAGUCUGUGUGGAACUUUGGGGUGUUACUGAUUAAUGACGGCAUGAAGUUGGACUUGGUCACCUUUGAACCAGUUUGUUCAGCAGUUGUCCACGACCAUGAAAUGCACUUUUUUGUACGUCGCUUUGGAUAAAAGCGUCUGCCAAAUGAAUGUAAUGUUUGUCCAAUGUUUCUGCAUUCCCAUUAUUUACAUUAUGCAAUCAUCUCAAAGAUUUAGAAUUUAUAUGACAGGUCUUUUCCUUGCUAUAAACGUGUUUUAUUAGAAAUCGUAUGGUCUAUUAAAGGGGGUUAUUCAAAAAUAAAA
Anguilla anguilla (European eel) is the source of this 1013-nucleotide long non-coding RNA. RefSeq lists it as uncharacterized. The transcript is spliced from 3 exons. The record is from RefSeq and is a predicted model, not a curated record. Lineage: Eukaryota; Metazoa; Chordata; Actinopteri; Anguilliformes; Anguillidae.